CGCGUAGACGGUUUUGUAAGUCAGAUGUGAAAUCCCUGGGCUCAACCUGGGAACUGCAUUUGAAACUGCAUGGCUAGAGUAUGGUAGAGGGAAGUGGAAUUUCCGGUGUAGCGGUGAAAUGCGUAGAUAUCGGAAGGAACACCAGUGGCGAAAGCGACUUCCUGGACCAAUACUGACGUUCAUGUGCGAAAGCGUGGGGAGCAAACAGGAUUAGAUACCCUGGUAGUCCACGCCAUAAACGAUGACAACUAGAUGUUGGGAGGGUCUGCCUCUCGGUGUCGCAGCUAACGCGUUAAGUGUCCGCCUGGGGAGUACGGCCGCAAGGUUGAA
RNAcentral lists this ribosomal RNA (330 nucleotides) under uncultured bacterium. Its description in RNAcentral is "bacterial SSU rRNA". It matches the Rfam family "Bacterial small subunit ribosomal RNA", at positions 568 to 898 of the family's 1533-position model. The record is from RNAcentral.